UACGGGGGAUGCAAGCGUUAUCCGGAAUUAUUGGGCGUAAAGCGCCUGUAGGUGGUUUAAUAAGUCUGUUGUUAAAGACUAGGGCUUAACCCUAGAAAAGCAAUGGAAACUACUAGACUAGAGUAUGGCAGGGGUAGAGGGAAUUUCUAGUGUAGCGGUGAAAUGCGUAGAUAUUAGAAAGAACACCGGUGGCGAAAGCGCUCUACUGGACCAUUACUGACACUCAGAGGCGAAAGCUAGGGUAGCAAAAGGGAUUAGAUACCCCUGUAGUCCUAGCCGUAAACGAUGGAUACUAGAUGUUGUAUUGUUUUUUCAGUAUCGUAGCUAACGCGUUAAGUAUCCCGCCUGGGGAGUAUGCUCGCAAGGGUG
RNAcentral lists this ribosomal RNA (369 nucleotides) under uncultured phototrophic eukaryote. Its description in RNAcentral is "SSU rRNA". It matches the Rfam family "Bacterial small subunit ribosomal RNA", at positions 524 to 896 of the family's 1533-position model. The record is from RNAcentral.